RNAcentral lists this ribosomal RNA (254 nucleotides) under uncultured bacterium. RNAcentral's name for it is "partial 16S ribosomal RNA". It matches the Rfam family "Bacterial small subunit ribosomal RNA", at positions 524 to 776 of the family's 1533-position model. The record is from RNAcentral.
UACGGGGGGAGCAAGCGUUGUUCGGAUUUACUGGGCGUAAAGGGCGCGUAGGCGGCCAGCACAAGUCAGUUGUGAAAUCUCCGAGCUUAACUCGGAAAGGUCAACUGAUACUGUGCGGCUAGAGUGCGGAAGGGGCAACUGGAAUUCUUGGUGUAGCGGUGAAAUGCGUAGAUAUCAGGAGGAACACCGGUGGCGAAGGCGGGUCUCUGGGCAGUAACUGACGCUGAGGAGCGAAAGCGUGGGGAGCGAACAGG